GAAAGUCUGUUGUUGUAAACAUCCCCGACUGGAAGCUGUAAGAUUCAACUAAGCUUUCAGUCAGAUGUUUGCUGCUACCGGCUAUUC
This 87-nucleotide microRNA precursor is filed under the name Callithrix jacchus (white-tufted-ear marmoset). Its description in RNAcentral is "microRNA cja-mir-30d precursor". Its record names the gene cja-mir-30d. The stretch from base 6 to 81 matches the Rfam family "mir-30 microRNA precursor family". Rfam says of the family: This family consists of the mammalian microRNA (miRNA) precursor mir-30a. Animal miRNAs are transcribed as ~70nt precursors and subsequently processed by the Dicer enzyme to give a ~22nt product. Lineage: Eukaryota; Metazoa; Chordata; Mammalia; Primates; Cebidae. The record is from miRBase by way of RNAcentral.